Molecule: long non-coding RNA, 202 nt
Filed under: Mytilus galloprovincialis (Mediterranean mussel)
Lineage: Eukaryota; Metazoa; Mollusca; Bivalvia; Mytilida; Mytilidae
Source: RNAcentral
CAAUUACCGAUUUGAUUCUAUUAUUACACACUUUUUAAACAAAUUACUUCCCUUUGUCAAUCGUAGACUGGUUCCAUACCGGACAAAAUUGGUUUUUGCCAAUGCAAAGCAUGAUGAAUCGAAAGUGAUGUAUCGGCGGUUAAACUAGUUUUUCAUGAAAAAUAAUUUCUGAUGUCAAAAGUAUUUAGUUAAACAACAAAUU